UACGUAGGGUGCAAGCGUUGUCCGGAAUUAUUGGGCGUAAAGAGCUCGUAGGCGGUUUGUCGCGUCUGCUGUGAAAACGCGAGGCUCAACCUCGCGCCUGCAGUGGGUACGGGCAGACUAGAGUGCGGUAGGGGGAGAUUGGAAUUCCUGGUGUAGCGGUGAAAUGCGCAGAUAUCAGGAAGAACACCAGCGGCGAAGGCGGCACUCGUGGGCCGGUACUGACGCUGAGGAGCGAAAGCGUGGGUAGCAAACAGG
RNAcentral lists this ribosomal RNA (255 nucleotides) under uncultured bacterium. RNAcentral's name for it is "partial 16S ribosomal RNA". It matches the Rfam family "Bacterial small subunit ribosomal RNA", at positions 524 to 776 of the family's 1533-position model. The record is from RNAcentral.